This 501-nucleotide ribosomal RNA is filed under the name uncultured bacterium. Its description in RNAcentral is "partial 16S ribosomal RNA". It matches the Rfam family "Bacterial small subunit ribosomal RNA", at positions 30 to 523 of the family's 1533-position model. The record is from RNAcentral.
AUUGAACGCUGGCGGCAGGCUUAACACAUGCAAGUCGAGCGGGGGAAGGUAGCUUGCUACCGGACCUAGCGGCGGACGGGUGAGUAAUGCUUAGGAAUCUGCCUAUUAGUGGGGGACAACAUCUCGAAAGGGAUGCUAAUACCGCAUACGUCCUACGGGAGAAAGCAGGGGAUCUUCGGACCUUGCGCUAAUAGAUGAGCCUAAGUCGGAUUAGCUAGUUGGUGGGGUAAAGGCCUACCAAGGCGACGAUCUGUAGCGGGUCUGAGAGGAUGAUCCGCCACACGGGGACUGAGACACGGCCCAGACUCCUACGGGAGGCAGCAGUGGGGAAUAUUGGACAAUGGGGGGAACCCUGAUCCAGCCAUGCCGCGUGUGUGAAGAAGGCCUUAUGGCUGUAAAGCACUUUAAGCGAGGAGGAGGCUACUUUAGUUAAUACCUAGAGAUAGUGGACGUUACUCGCAGAAUAAGCACCGGCUAACUCUGUGCCAGCCGCCGCAGUAA